CUGGGGGAAGAGAAAGCAAAUCACUAGCUGUGUAAUGUGGAGAGAGUGAAGGAGCAAUUUCUGUUUUUACUUCAGUUCUGGAUGGUUCUAUUGUUUUACAAAAAGCAAGACUUCAAAAAAUCCUUUGCUCUAUGCACCAGUGUCACUGUCCCCUUUUCUAUCAUAUGGAAUGGUCACUGGGGUGUAGCUUCACAUCAGACACUACGCCUUCAAGCCCCCUUUGUAGCCAGAUGGGGAUGUGAACCUAUCUGUGCCUGUUGGAUGUGA
RNAcentral lists this long non-coding RNA (267 nucleotides) under Rhinopithecus bieti (black snub-nosed monkey). RNAcentral's name for it is "lncRNA (ENSRBIG00000046306.1)". The record is from RNAcentral. Lineage: Eukaryota; Metazoa; Chordata; Mammalia; Primates; Cercopithecidae.